Long non-coding RNA from Trichomycterus rosablanca, 505 nucleotides. RefSeq lists it as uncharacterized. NCBI's taxonomy places the organism in Eukaryota, Metazoa, Chordata, Actinopteri, Siluriformes, Trichomycteridae. The record is from RefSeq and is a predicted model, not a curated record. The transcript is spliced from 5 exons.
AGCAGCUGAGGUAAAUUGGUGAACUAGUUAUAAACUCACAGACGCUGUAUGGAUUCAUUGUCUUCUCUAUUGAAACGGUCUAAAUCACCGGGAUUUGGGAAUCGACACUGUAGUUCAACUCCCAUUCUUUUGAUUCGGCACCCGUGAAGAGCAAACUAAAGGGGUAUUAGUAAGUAACGCAGCGGGGCCAAGCAGGGCUGAUUUGGACUUCCGAGGGCCCAGGAGGUUAAGAUUUCCCUCAGACAUGCUCCGCACCACUCUUCUGCUCGGCUCGUUCUCGGAUGAUCCUGGAACAGAACAAAAUCAAGUCAAAGAACAGUGAAGAUGAGCUCUUUUGAAGCUGAACCCUGUGCGUUUGAUGCUCUCUGAUAGAAAACAGACGUACGUCACAGCUGGAGCCGUCUAGAAAACACCAGCUACUCUGAAGGAGAGUUACCUUCGGGUCAGCGAGCGUGUUGAUGACAUUGCCCAGUGCAAGCAGAGAGCGGUUGAUGUUGGCUCCCUC